GCCCUUGUAGCCCAAUCGGCAGAGGCACACGACUCAAAAUCGUGACAGUGUGGGUUCGACUCCCACCAAGGGCA
Molecule: transfer RNA, 74 nt
Filed under: Mycolicibacterium phlei DSM 43239 = CCUG 21000
Lineage: Bacteria; Bacillati; Actinomycetota; Actinomycetes; Mycobacteriales; Mycobacteriaceae
Description: Mycobacterium phlei DSM 43239 = CCUG 21000 tRNA
Rfam family: tRNA
About the family: Transfer RNA (tRNA) molecules are approximately 80 nucleotides in length.
Source: Rfam by way of RNAcentral